GAAAUUGAAAUCGCUGUGAAGAUGCAGUGUACCCGCGGCUAGACGGAAAGACCCCGUGAACCUUUACUACAGCUUGGCACUGAACAUUGACCCUACAUGUGUAGGAUAGGUGGGAGGCUUUGAAGCACGUACGCCAGUAUGUGUGGAGCCGUCCUUGAAAUACCACCCUUGUAGUGUUGAUGUUCUAACGUCGACCCCUUAUCGGGGUUACGGACAGUGCCUGGUGGGUAGUUUGACUGGGGCGGUCUCCUCCCAAAGAGUAACGGAGGAGCACGAAGGUGGGCUAAUCACGGUUGGACAUCGUGAGGUUAGUGCAAUGGCAUAAGCCCGCUUGACUGCGAGAAUGACAAUUCGAGCAGGUGCGAAAGCAGGUCAUAGUGAUCCGGUGGUUCUGAAUGGAAGGGCCAUCGCUCAACGGAUAAAAGGUACUCCGGGGAUAACAGGCUGAUACCGCCCAAGAGUUCAUAUCGACGGCGGUGUUUGGCACCUCGAUGUCGGCUCAUCACAUCCUGGGGCUGAAGUCGGUCCCAAGGGUAUGGCUGUUCGCCAUUUAAAGUGGUACGCGAGCUGGGUUUAGAACGUCGUGAGACAGUUCGGUCCCUAUCUGCCGUGGGCGUUGGAAGAUUGAAGGGGGCUGCUCCUAGUACGAGAGGACCGGAGUGGACGAACCUCUGGUGUUCGGGUUGUGUCGCCAGACGCAUUGCCCGGUAGCUAAGUUCGGAAUCGAUAACCGCUGAAAGCAUCUAAGCGGGAAGCGAGCCCUGAGAUGAGUCUUCCCUGAUACUUUAAGUAUCCUAAAGGGUUGUCGGAGACUACGACGUUGAUAGGUCAGGUGUGUAAGUGCUGUGAGGCAUUGAGCUAACUGAUACUAAUUGCCCGUGAGGCUUAACCAUACAACACCCAAGGGGUUU
RNAcentral lists this ribosomal RNA (911 nucleotides) under Vibrio parahaemolyticus. RNAcentral describes it as "bacterial LSU rRNA". It matches the Rfam family "Bacterial large subunit ribosomal RNA", at positions 2038 to 2925 of the family's 2925-position model. The record is from RNAcentral. Lineage: Bacteria; Pseudomonadati; Pseudomonadota; Gammaproteobacteria; Vibrionales; Vibrionaceae.